Molecule: non-coding RNA, 256 nt
Organism: Schizosaccharomyces pombe (fission yeast)
Lineage: Eukaryota; Fungi; Ascomycota; Schizosaccharomycetes; Schizosaccharomycetales; Schizosaccharomycetaceae
Source: the annotation of a GenBank genome assembly
CGCAACGACAAUCAAGGAGUUACUGAAAUGUGAUUUUCUUGUUAAUAGACUAGAAAUCAAUCAAACAGCAAGCGUUCAAACGAGUAGCCAUUGUGUCGAUAUAGUCGAACAUAGCCGUACAAUUUUUAAUAUUAGUAGGAAUAAAAUGCUUGAGGAAAAAAAUUUGACAACGCAAUAGAAAAAAAAAAAAAAAUAAAAAAAUAAAAAAAAGUAAAAAAAUAAAAAAAAGUAAAAAAAAAAAAAAUAAUAAAAAAAA